Molecule: transfer RNA, 88 nt
Filed under: Planococcus chinensis
Lineage: Bacteria; Bacillati; Bacillota; Bacilli; Caryophanales; Caryophanaceae
Also listed under: 6 other names
Description: tRNA-Ser
Rfam family: tRNA
About the family: Transfer RNA (tRNA) molecules are approximately 80 nucleotides in length.
Source: RNAcentral
GGAGAUGUACCCAAGAGGCUGAAGGGGGCUGACUCGAAAUCAGUUAGGGCGUGCAAGCGCCGCGGGGGUUCGAAUCCUCUCAUCUCCG